GUGAACGCUGGCGGUAGGCCUAACACAUGCAAGUCGAACGGCAGCACAGUAAGAGCUUGCUCUUACGGGUGGCGAGUGGCGGACGGGUGAGGAAUACAUCGGUAUCUACUUUUUCGUGGGGGAUAACGUAAGGAAACUUACGCUAAUACCGCAUACGACCUACGGGUGAAAGCAGGGGAUCUUCGGACCUUGCGCGAUUGAAUGAGCCGAUGUCGGAUUAGCUAGUUGGCGGGGUAAAGGCCCACCAAGGCGACGAUCCGUAGCUGGUCUGAGAGGAUGAUCAGCCACACUGGAACUGAGACACGGUCCAGACUCCUACGGGAGGCAGCAGUGGGGAAUAUUGGACAAUGGGCGCAAGCCUGAUCCAGCCAUACCGCGUGGGUGAAGAAGGCCUUCGGGUUGUAAAGCCCUUUUGUUGGGAAAGAAAAGCAGCAGGUUAAUACCCCGCUGUUCUGACGGUACCCAAAGAAUAAGCACCGGCUAACUUCGUG
Molecule: ribosomal RNA, 491 nt
Filed under: uncultured bacterium
Lineage: Bacteria
Description: partial 16S ribosomal RNA
Rfam family: Bacterial small subunit ribosomal RNA
Source: RNAcentral